Mytilus californianus (California mussel) is the source of this 796-nucleotide long non-coding RNA. RefSeq lists it as uncharacterized. The transcript has 3 exons. The record is from RefSeq and is a predicted model, not a curated record. Lineage: Eukaryota; Metazoa; Mollusca; Bivalvia; Mytilida; Mytilidae.
AAGUCUGAAUUUAGAAAAUCGAGCAACCCAAUUUUAUAUUUGAUUAGUGUUUAUGGUACUCUGAGUUGAAAAUUUUGAUGUUAUCAUAUUUUGAUAAUUGAAAUUUCUUAGGUUCUUGAGAAAAACUGCAAUGUUUCUAAAAAUGAUGCGAAAACACAUGUCUGGUAAAACCAAGUCUUGGUUUUAUGAAUUUUUGACAAUUGUUCCUUUUUGGAUAAGAUAUUUCUUAAAACUUAAGGUCCGAUAAAACUUUAAUAGGUUUUCGAAUGUUUAUAUGACAACAUCAUUGCAGAUCGGGUGCAAAUUAAGCAUUUUGACGCACAUGUUAUGCCUCUUCAUUGUUAUUCAAAUGAGCGACCAUAACCAGUUGUUUGUGUACUUCAACACAUGAUGUAUCAUUGAAAACGUGUAGGAAUUGUAUGUCAAUGGAAAUACAUGGAAUCCAACAUCCUAGCUACUUUUGCAAUUUUUCAUGCAGACUAUGAAACAGUUACUAUAGAGUAUAGUGUUCUUUAAAACGUUGUACAUGUUGAAGUGUUGUAACAAAUUACUUUUCAUCAACUAUAUGUACAAAAAUGAAUGAAAGAAGGUUAGGAUGGAAAAGUGGUGAAGAUGAAGGUUACAAUUGUGAUCUACAUAUUGAUUAAUUUGAAGCAGAUUUUGUUCUAAAGAGGGAAAUAAAUAAACAGUGUGUUUUAUAAAGAUGUUCAAUUAUUAACACAACAACAAAAAUAAUCAUUGUAUGAGAGAUAAAUGGAUAUAAGUGUAAAUAAAGACACUUUAUUUUCUUUUUCUA